This is a small nuclear RNA of Fukomys damarensis (Damara mole-rat), 130 nucleotides long. Its record names the gene U4. It matches the Rfam family "U4 spliceosomal RNA". Rfam says of the family: U4 small nuclear RNA (U4 snRNA) is a component of the major U2-dependent spliceosome. The structure of U4 snRNA from yeast and human has been reported. U4 snRNA presents a k-turn RNA motif in the 5p-SL related to recognition of Snu13 protein. Lineage: Eukaryota; Metazoa; Chordata; Mammalia; Rodentia; Bathyergidae. The record is from Ensembl.
AGUUUUGCGCAGUGGCAGUAUCGUAGCCAAUGGGGUUUAUCCGAGGCGCAAUUACUGCUAAUUAAAAUACUUCCCACAACUAACGCUCAAACUUGUACAUAUAAAUUAAAUAUGGAACAUUGCUUAUAAU